GACGAACGCUGGCGGCAGGCCUAACACAUGCAAGUCGAGCGGACCUUUCGGGGUCAGCGGCGGACGGGUGAGUAACGCGUGGGAAUAUGCCCUUCUCUACGGAAUAGUCCUGGGAAACUGGGGGUAAUACCGUAUACGCCCUUUGGGGGAAAGAUUUAUCGGGGAAGGAUUAGCCCGCGUUGGAUUAGGUAGUUGGUGGGGUAAUGGCCUACCAAGCCGACGAUCCAUAGCUGGUUUGAGAGGAUGAUCAGCCACACUGGGACUGAGACACGGCCCAGACUCCUACGGGAGGGAGCAGUGGGGAAUCUUAGACAAUGGGGGCAACCCUGAUCUAGCCAUGCCGCGUGAGUGAUGAAGGCGUUAGGGUUGUAAAGCUCUUUCAGCUGGGAAGAUAAUGACGGUACCAGCAGAAGAAGCCCCGGCUAACUCCGUG
This 433-nucleotide ribosomal RNA is filed under the name uncultured bacterium. Its description in RNAcentral is "partial 16S ribosomal RNA". It matches the Rfam family "Bacterial small subunit ribosomal RNA", at positions 28 to 507 of the family's 1533-position model. The record is from RNAcentral.